GAGUUUGAUCAUGGCUCAGAACGAACGCUGGCGGCAUGCCUAACACAUGCAAGUCGAACGCCCUCUUUUAGAGGGAGUGGCGCACGGGUGCGUAACGCGUGGGAACCUGCCCUUAGGUUCGGAAUAACUCAGAGAAAUUUGAGCUAAUACCGGAUAAUGUCUUCGGACCAAAGAUUUAUCGCCUUUGGAUGGGCCCGCGUAGGAUUAGAUAGUUGGUGGGGUAAUGGCCUACCAAGUCGACGAUCCUUAGCUGGUCUGAGAGGAUGAUCAGCCACACUGGGACUGAGACACGGCCCAGACUCCUACGGGAGGCAGCAGUGGGGAAUAUUGGACAAUGGGCGAAAGCCUGAUCCAGCAAUGCCGCGUGAGUGAUGAAGGCCUUAGGGUUGUAAAGCUCUUUUACCAGGGAUGAUAAUGACAGUACCUGGAGAAUAAGCUCCGGCUAACUCCGUGCCAGCAGCCGCGGUAAUACGGAGGGAGCUAGCGUUGUUCGGAAUUACUGGGCGUAAAGCGCACGUAGGCGGCUUUUCAAGUCAGGGGUGAAAUCCCGGGGCUCAACCCCGGAACUGCCCUUGAAACUGGAUGGCUAGAAUACUGGAGAGGUGAGUGGAAUUCCGAGUGUAGAGGUGAAAUUCGUAGAUAUUCGGAAGAACACCAGUGGCGAAGGCGACUCACUGGACAGUUAUUGACGCUGAGGUGCGAAAGCGU
RNAcentral lists this ribosomal RNA (708 nucleotides) under uncultured bacterium. RNAcentral describes it as "bacterial SSU rRNA". It matches the Rfam family "Bacterial small subunit ribosomal RNA", at positions 9 to 762 of the family's 1533-position model. The record is from RNAcentral.